CCUACGGGAGGCAGCAGUGGGGAAUCUUGCGCAAUGGGCGAAAGCCUGACGCAGCAACGCCGCGUGCGGGAAGAAGGCUUUCGGGCUGUAAACCGCUUUCAGCAGGAACGAAAAUGACGGUACCUGCAGAAGAAGGAGCGGCCAACUAUGUGCCAGCAGCCGCGGUGAUACAUAGGCUUCAAGCGUUGUCCGGAUUUAUUGGGCGUAAAGAGUUCGUAGGCGGUCGAGUAAGUCGGGUGUGAAAAUUCUGGGCUCAACCCAGAGACGCCACCCGAUACUGCUUAACUUGAGUUCGAUAGGGGAGUGGGGAAUUCCUAGUGUAGCGGUGAAAUGCGCAGAUAUUAGGAGGAACACCGGUGGCGAAGGCGCCACUCUGGAUCGAUACUGACGCUGAGGAACGAAAGCAUGGGUAGCAAACAGGAUUAGAUACCCUGGUAGUCCAUGCCGUAAACGGUGGGCACUAGGUGUGGGAUUCUAUUAACGAAUUCCGCGCCGUCGCUAACGCAUUAAGUGCCCCGCCUGGGGAGUACGGUCGCAAGCUAAAACUCAAAGGAAUUGACGGCNGAGAGNGCGAGACGACACGAGGAGAG
RNAcentral lists this ribosomal RNA (590 nucleotides) under uncultured bacterium. RNAcentral describes it as "bacterial SSU rRNA". It matches the Rfam family "Bacterial small subunit ribosomal RNA", at positions 338 to 948 of the family's 1533-position model. The record is from RNAcentral.